CACAUAUUCAUGGCCUUUGAUCCAGUCACCCUUCUCCUAAGAAUUCACCUUAAGAAACUACAUGACCAAGAGGAAACAAGAGAUAAACGAACUGAAACUUAAGGAGGUUAAUUUACUUGCUGGGUCCAGAGCUAUUGUAUAGUGGAAAUGGGAUUCAUUCCCAGGCCAUUUUGCUUCCAGAGCUGCAGUCUUAAUCACCAUUCUCCACUCCCUGGUGCAUAACAGUCCACAGAUCCUGCCAAGUGGGCAACAGACCAGGUGAUACUGUCUCCCCAGACUCAGCUGAUUGUACCUUGUGAGGACCUGGGUCUCAGGGAUGACCCAUCCAUAGGCCAAUGGCCCAUGACAUAGCCUGGCUCAGCCAGUAAAUCAGCCAAAUCCUUCUCUCAGAAAUUAAGGCAAAGACACCCAAAAAGAAGUUCUAAUGGCUGGAUUUGGAGAUUAUGCAGAUUUGGAAACUGAACAUCAUUUUUGGCUGUGUAGACAAAUAAUCAAAAAUAUCCAGCUGGAAAGGAAGAAGAUACAGGACGCAAUGUAGAGAGAGAGACUUUGCUGUGAGGGGAG
Long non-coding RNA from Choloepus didactylus (southern two-toed sloth), 564 nucleotides. RefSeq lists it as uncharacterized. The record is from RefSeq and is a predicted model, not a curated record. The transcript has 3 exons. Lineage: Eukaryota; Metazoa; Chordata; Mammalia; Pilosa; Megalonychidae.